Molecule: non-coding RNA, 28 nt
Filed under: Mus musculus (house mouse)
Lineage: Eukaryota; Metazoa; Chordata; Mammalia; Rodentia; Muridae
Source: RNAcentral
UUGCCUCCCGUAAAACUUCUAUGAUGCC